RNAcentral lists this ribosomal RNA (492 nucleotides) under uncultured bacterium. RNAcentral describes it as "partial 16S ribosomal RNA". It matches the Rfam family "Bacterial small subunit ribosomal RNA", at positions 29 to 507 of the family's 1533-position model. The record is from RNAcentral.
AGUGAACGCUGGCGGUAGGCCUAACACAUGCAAGUCGAACGGCAGCACAGUGAGAGCUUGCUCUUACGGGUGGCGAGUGGCGGACGGGUGAGGAAUACAUCGGAAUCUACUUUUUCGUGGGGGAUAACGUAGGGAAACUUACGCUAAUACCGCAUACGACCUACGGGUGAAAGCAGGGGAUCUUCGGACCUUGCGCGAUUGAAUGAGCCGAUGUCGGAUUAGCUAGUUGGCGGGGUAAAGGCCCACCAAGGCGACGAUCCGUAGCUGGUCUGAGAGGAUGAUCAGCCACACUGGAACUGAGACACGGUCCAGACUCCUACGGGAGGCAGCAGUGGGGAAUAUUGGACAAUGGGCGCAAGCCUGAUCCAGCCAUACCGCGUGGGUGAAGAAGGCCUUCGGGUUGUAAAGCCCCUUUGUUGGGAAAGAAAAGCAGCAGGUUAAUACCCCGCUGUUCUGACGGUACCCAAAGAAUAAGCACCGGCUAACUUCGUG